GUGCUCACUUCGGCAGCACAUGUACUAAAAUUGGAACGAUAUAGAGAAGAUUAGCAUGGCCCUUGUGCAAGGAUGAAACACAAAUUUAUGAAGUGUUACAUAUUUUU
Molecule: small nuclear RNA, 107 nt
Organism: Homo sapiens (human)
Lineage: Eukaryota; Metazoa; Chordata; Mammalia; Primates; Hominidae
Source: Ensembl